This 905-nucleotide long non-coding RNA is filed under the name Heterocephalus glaber (naked mole-rat). Its description in RNAcentral is "lncRNA (ENSHGLG00000046374.1)". Lineage: Eukaryota; Metazoa; Chordata; Mammalia; Rodentia; Bathyergidae. The record is from RNAcentral.
AAUGGGGUUGGAGGUACCUCAACGUGCGUCCAUGUUUUCAAAUUUGGAAAAAGUCAAUAUAUAUACGUAUAUAUGUAUGUAUAUAUAUUACAUUUUUGACAACAAGAUUUGUUAUAUAUAUUGUUACUUUCCAAUGACUUUUUUCUUUUGUUUUCUAGCAGAAGUGAAAGAAGGAAGGUUCAGAUCCAAUACUGGCUGAGCUGCUGUUGAAAAGAACAACACACUCGUACUCACUCCAAACCUAAUCAAACACCCUCGGUGAAUUGUUUAGCAUUUGAAGGCUUGAUCUUUUGUGCCGUCUACUGGACAAUGGAAAAACUGCAGCCUAAAUGACAAACUUCCCUCCUCCAGUAUUAGUAAUGGAGGGGGAGGGAUACAUUGAAGAGCCUGGGGUGACAUUGACUCUAAGCUUACAGCAUGGGGAGCUCAGGAUGGUUUCAUUUCACUUCUGCAGAAAAGUCCCUACAACAAAAGCUAACAAGCAGAAAAUUCUUCCAGGAACGGAUCACAAGUGAGCACAGCUCUGUCCUGUAUUCUAAGCUAGUAAUGGAGGUACAGUACGGGAGCUGAAGAGGUCUAGCAGACGUGCUCCAGUCAUCAACUGCAAACAUUUACCUUUGAAGCAACUGGAUGAGCCAGAUUGGUUAUGGUUUGCAUCCAUGUUCGACUUGAUAAAGGGGCAUAAUUUGUGAAAAGCCUUCAGGCAAAAAUCGUACUGAUUAUUCAAAACUAAAUAUUUUAACAUUUCAUUGAGUUAGCUAAUGAAUAAGAAAAACAUCGAAGGCUUCCUGCAGCUCAGAAAGAAUUCUAGUGGCGUGGAAAGCACAAGGAGCAAAGAACAAGAAACUGAAGGACUCCUGCUGAGCAGUUAUUCGCUUGUGAAUAUCUGAAAAUGUAUUCUUCUG